RNAcentral lists this ribosomal RNA (467 nucleotides) under uncultured bacterium. RNAcentral's name for it is "partial 16S ribosomal RNA". It matches the Rfam family "Bacterial small subunit ribosomal RNA", at positions 28 to 506 of the family's 1533-position model. The record is from RNAcentral.
GACGAACGCUGGCGGCGUGCUUAACACAUGCAAGUCGAACGGAAAGGCCCUGCUUUUGUGGGGUGCUCGAGUGGCGAACGGGUGAGUAACACGUGAGUAACCUGCCCUUGACUUUGGGAUAACUUCAGGAAACUGGGGCUAAUACCGGAUAGGAGCUCCUGCUGCAUGGUGGGGGUUGGAAAGUUUCGGCGGUUGGGGAUGGACUCGCGGCUUAUCAGCUUGUUGGUGGGGUAGUGGCUUACCAAGGCUUUGACGGGUAGCCGGCCUGAGAGGGUGACCGGCCCCAUUGGGCGUGGGAAGGGGCCCAAACCGCGAGGGGGGGGAACGGGGGGAAAUUUAGGAAAAGGGGGGGAAGCCUGAAGAAGCAGCGCCGCGGGGGGGAAGCCGGCCUUGGGGUUGUAAACCGUUUUGGCAUUAGACGAAGGGGGAGGAGGGGUAAGGGGAAAAGAAGGACCGGCUAACACCGU